This 449-nucleotide ribosomal RNA is filed under the name uncultured bacterium. RNAcentral's name for it is "bacterial SSU rRNA". It matches the Rfam family "Bacterial small subunit ribosomal RNA", at positions 318 to 750 of the family's 1533-position model. The record is from RNAcentral.
ACUGAGACACGGUCCAGACUCCUACGGGAGGCAGCAGUAGGGAAUCUUCCGCAAUGGGCGAAAGCCUGACGGAGCAACGCCGCGUGAGUGAUGAAGGUUUUCGGAUCGUAAAACUCUGUUAUUAGGGAAGAACAAAUGCGUAAGUAACUGUGCGCAUCUUGACGGUACCUAAUCAGAAAGCCACGGCUAACUACGUGCCAGCAGCCGCGGUAAUACGUAGGUGGCAAGCGUUAUCCGGAAUUAUUGGGCGUAAAGCGCGCGUAGGCGGUUUCUUAAGUCUGAUGUGAAAGCCCACGGUUCACCCGUGGAGGGUCAUUUGGAAACUGGGCAAACUUGAGUGCAGAAGAGGAAAGUGGAAUUCCCAUGUGUAGCGGGGGAAAUGCGCAGAAAUAUGAAGAACCACCAGUGGCGGAAGGGGGACUUUUCUGGUCUGGUAACUGAACGCUGGA